GUUAGGUUACCUGCAGUUUUCUUAGGAGGGAAGUAUGUUGGUGGGGCCGAGGAGAUCAAGGAGAUGAAUGAGAGUGGUGAGUUGAGUAAGCUGAUUGGUGGGUUACCUGCAUUUUUCUUAGGAGGGAAGUAUGUUGGUGGGGCCGAGGAGAUCAAGGAGAUGAAUGAGAGUGGUGAGUUGAGUAAGCUGAUUGGUGGGUUACCAAUAGCGUCUGUGAUGUUUGUGGAGGGCUGAGAUAUGUUCUUUGUGCACAGUGCAAUGGCAGCCAUAAGAUCUACUCUGAGAAGCAUGGGUUUAGGACCUGCACAUCGUGCAAUGUAAACGGUCUCAUUAAGUGCGGCCUAUGUUAUCCCGUGCAAUGUAAACGGUCUGAUUAAGUGCGGCAUAUGUUAUCC
This is a long non-coding RNA of Manihot esculenta (cassava), 395 nucleotides long. RefSeq lists it as uncharacterized. NCBI's taxonomy places the organism in Eukaryota, Viridiplantae, Streptophyta, Magnoliopsida, Malpighiales, Euphorbiaceae. The record is from RefSeq and is a predicted model, not a curated record. The transcript has 3 exons.